Molecule: ribosomal RNA, 253 nt
Filed under: uncultured bacterium
Lineage: Bacteria
Description: partial 16S ribosomal RNA
Rfam family: Bacterial small subunit ribosomal RNA
Source: RNAcentral
UACGUAGGUGACCAGCGUUGUCCGGAUUUACUGGGCGUAAAGAGCGCGCAGGCGGCUGAGCAAGUCGAGUGUGAAAGCCCCGGGCUUAACUUGGGAAUUGCGCUCGAAACUACUUGGCUGGAGUGUGGCAGAGGAGGGUGGAAUUCCACGUGUAGCGGUGAAAUGCGUAGAGAUGUGGAGGAACACCAAUGGCGAAGGCAGCCCUCUGGGCCAACACUGACGCUCAUGCACGAAAGCGUGGGGAGCAAACAGG